UUAACACAUGCAAGUUGAACGAGAAUUUUUCAGUCGAUUUUCUUCGGAAUGAAACCGAAAAAGGAAAGUAGCGAACGGGUGAGUAACACGUGAGAAACCUGCCUUUCACAAAGGGAUAGCCUCGGGAAACCGGGAUUAAUACCUUAUGAUACAUUAAUAUCGCAUGAUGUAAAUGUUAAAGAAUUUCGGUGAAAGAUGGUCUCGCGUCUGAUUAGCUAGUUGGUAAGGUAGUGGCUUACCAAGGCAACGAUCAGUAGCCGGAUUGAGAGGUUGAACGGCCACACUGGAACUGAGACACGGUCCAGACUCCUACGGGAGGCAGCAGUGGGGAAUUUUGCACAAUGGGGGAAACCCUGAUGCAGCGACGCCGCGUGAACGAUGAAGGUCUUCGGAUUGUAAAGUUCUGUCCUUAGCGAAGAUAAUGACAGUAGCUAAGAAGCAAGCCCUGGCUAAAUACGUGCCAGCAGCCGCGGUAAUACGUAUGGGGCAAGCGUUGUCCGGAAUUAUUGGGCGUAAAGGGUAUGUAGGCGGUUAAUUAAGUCUGAAUUUAAAGGCUGUGGCUCAACCACGGUUCGGUUUAGAAACUGGUUAACUUGAGUAGAUGAGGGGAAAGUGGAAUUCCAUGUGUAGCGGUGAAAUGCGUAGAUAUAUGGAGGAACACCAGUGGCGAAGGCGACUUUCUAGAA
This 686-nucleotide ribosomal RNA is filed under the name Helcococcus kunzii. Its description in RNAcentral is "bacterial SSU rRNA". It matches the Rfam family "Bacterial small subunit ribosomal RNA", at positions 48 to 734 of the family's 1533-position model. Lineage: Bacteria; Bacillati; Bacillota; Tissierellia; Tissierellales; Peptoniphilaceae. The record is from RNAcentral.